RNAcentral lists this transfer RNA (73 nucleotides) under Felis catus (domestic cat). It matches the Rfam family "tRNA". From Rfam's summary of the family: Transfer RNA (tRNA) molecules are approximately 80 nucleotides in length. Their secondary structure includes four short double-helical elements and three loops (D, anti-codon, and T loops). Further hydrogen bonds mediate the characteristic L-shaped molecular structure. tRNAs have two regions of fundamental functional importance: the anti-codon, which is responsible for specific mRNA codon recognition, and the 3' end, to which the tRNAs corresponding amino acid is attached (by aminoacyl-tRNA synthetases). tRNAs cope with the degeneracy of the genetic code in two manners: having more than one tRNA (with a specific anti-codon) for a particular amino acid; and 'wobble' base-pairing, i.e. permitting non-standard base-pairing at the 3rd anti-codon position. Lineage: Eukaryota; Metazoa; Chordata; Mammalia; Carnivora; Felidae. The record is from Rfam by way of RNAcentral.
ACCUGGCUGGCUCAGUUAGUAAAGCAUGUGACUCUUGAUCUUGGAGUCAUGAGUUGAAGUCCCAUGUUGGGUG